UAUUUAAAGGUACGCGCCGCGGCCAAGGCCGCACCGUACUGGGCGGGGGUCUGGGGAGCGCAGCAGCCAUGGCAAGCUGUCUCCUGCUCAACAACGGCGCCAAGAUGCCCAUCCUGGGGUUGGGUACCUGGAAGUCCCCUCCAGGGCAGGUGACUGAGGCCGUGAAGGUGGCCAUUGACGUCGGGUACCGCCACAUCGACUGUGCCCAUGUGUACCAGAAUGAGAAUGAGGUGGGGGUGGCCAUUCAGGAGAAGCUCAGGGAGCAGGUGGUGAAGCGUGAGGAGCUCUUCAUCGUCAGCAAGCUGUGGUGCACGUACCAUGAGAAGGGCCUGGUGAAAGGAGCCUGCCAGAAGACACUCAGCGACCUGAAGCUGGACUACCUGGACCUCUACCUUAUUCACUGGCCGACUGGCUUUAAGCCUGGGAAGGAAUUUUUCCCGUUGGAUGAGUCGGGCAAUGUGGUUCCCAGUGACACCAACAUUCUGGACACGUGGGUGGUAAGACAGCCCCUGGUUGGACCUUAUUUUCGUGACUGGUUCCCUCUUCUUCUUAGAAGCAAUCUGCCUGCCAUUUCUCACAUUGCAUUUUGUUACUCUGUCCCUGUUUGCUCUUUUUUUUUUUUUUUUUUUUUUGAGUCAGGG
RNAcentral lists this small RNA (641 nucleotides) under Pan troglodytes (chimpanzee). RNAcentral describes it as "retained intron". The record is from RNAcentral. Lineage: Eukaryota; Metazoa; Chordata; Mammalia; Primates; Hominidae.